AUGGCAUACGUGGACCACGCCUUCUCCAUCACCAACGAGGACGAGGACGACCUGGUGGGCGACGCGGUGGGGGGACGACCCCGCGGCGCGCCGGUCAAGGAGAUCGCCUUCGCCGCCGUGCUCCUCGCGUUCGGCGCACUCGGCGUCGUCGCCGGCCUCGUCAUGGCCGCCCACUGUGUCUGCGGCGACCACUCCCACGCAAAUACCGAGCUGUAG
Molecule: ribosomal RNA, 216 nt
Filed under: Triticum aestivum (bread wheat)
Lineage: Eukaryota; Viridiplantae; Streptophyta; Magnoliopsida; Poales; Poaceae
Description: partial small subunit ribosomal RNA
Source: RNAcentral